AUUGAACGCUGGCGGCAGGCCUAACACAUGCAAGUCGAACGGUAACAGGAAGCAGCUUGCUGCUUCGCUGACGAGUGGCGGACGGGUGAGUAAUGUCUGGGAAACUGCCUGAUGGAGGGGGAUAACUACUGGAAACGGUAGCUAAUAACGCAUAACGUCGCAAGACCAAAGAGGGGGACCUUAGGGCCUCUUGCCAUCGGAUGUGCCCAGAUGGGAUUAGCUAGUAGGUGGGGUAACGGCUCACCUAGGCGACGAUCCCUAGCUGGUCUGAGAGGAUGACCAGCCACACUGGAACUGAGACACGGUCCAGACUCCUACGGGAGGCAGCAGUGGGGAAUAUUGCACAAUGGGCGCAAGCCUGAUGCAGCCAUGCCGCGUGUAUGAAGAAGGCCUUCGGGUUGUAAAGUACUUUCAGCGGGGAGGAAGGGAGUAAAGUUAAUACCUUUGCUCAUUGACGUUACCCGCAGAAGAAGCACCGGCUAACUCCGUG
This 490-nucleotide ribosomal RNA is filed under the name uncultured bacterium. RNAcentral describes it as "partial 16S ribosomal RNA". It matches the Rfam family "Bacterial small subunit ribosomal RNA", at positions 30 to 507 of the family's 1533-position model. The record is from RNAcentral.